Molecule: long non-coding RNA, 1160 nt
Filed under: Equus asinus (donkey)
Lineage: Eukaryota; Metazoa; Chordata; Mammalia; Perissodactyla; Equidae
Description: lncRNA (ENSEASG00005037433.1)
Source: RNAcentral
CAGAAGGUUAACUAAAGAGCAGUUGCCUCAGACCUGGAGAACAAGGGGUUACAGCAUAUAUUCCUGAAAUUCUGGAUGGUGGAAAUCCUUGCCCUCUAAAAGCAGAAGUCCCUCUGGGUGCAGACUGAUGCUUCCCUUCAAAUCUGGAGCUGGAGAAGUUUCGUCAUGGAGAAAGAGCCCUCUCCCACCUGCGCCCAGCGCUUUUGACUUUGAAUCACCUCAAGUGGGGAUCCAUCAUCUCUGGUACAAGGCCUCGGAGCGUAGUACUACACACAGACACACACGAAUGCGGACCUAUGAAUGUGCUCAGAAAAAAAACAAACACACACUGUCUCCAUAUGCCUACCAACAACCUCUAUCUCUACCGCUACCCGUCCUGAGCGCUAAGAUGUUGACGGAAGAAGGCGGAGUGGUGAGAUUGCAGCUUCCAUCUUGCUGGAGUCUCUCUUUCUCCGUUGCUGGCUUUGAAGAAGCAAGAAGCCAUGGAGCAGACCCCCAGGUGGUAAGGAAAUGCAGAACGGCCUGAAGAAGCUGAGGACCCCCUCCGUCUGAAAUCCAUCAAAAAAACUAAAGCCCACAGUUCUGCAACCACAAGGAGCUGCACUUUGCAACAACCAGAGUGAGAUGAAAAGCAGAUUCUUCCCCAGUUGAGUCUCAGAGACCACAGCCCCAGUCAACACCUUGACUGUAGUCUUGUGAGACCCUAAGCAGAAGACCCAGCCCAGCUGUGCUCAGACUCCUGACCCACAGAAAUUAGGCAGAGAAAUACCUUUAACCUAAAGUUCCAAGCAAGGCCCUGAGCAUCACUCUGAUGGACAUGCUAAGCCUGUGAUGCUCACCACUGAGCCUGCCAUUUUGAUCAGGGGAAUGGAGAGUGCUGACUGGUGGACUCCAACUGCGGCUCUGGGAGGGAACUGGCUCCCCUGGAAGCACAUGAAUUCCCAAAGAGAAGCUGGUGUCCACUCAACCUUUAUUUACACUAGCCCACGCUUGUUUAUCUACCUUGGAAAUAAAAAUUUAAGAAGAACAUUGAAUGAAUGAACGAAUAAGAAAUGGUUUUGGCAAGUUAACAUUGUUCCUAAUUUGAGCCAAUUCAUGAGUAAAGUUAGGAUGUUGGUUUCCAAUUUUGACCCAUAUUUCAUGUGUGGAUUGCAGGCCUU